RNAcentral lists this ribosomal RNA (910 nucleotides) under Microbacterium foliorum. Its description in RNAcentral is "bacterial SSU rRNA". It matches the Rfam family "Bacterial small subunit ribosomal RNA", at positions 54 to 973 of the family's 1533-position model. Lineage: Bacteria; Bacillati; Actinomycetota; Actinomycetes; Micrococcales; Microbacteriaceae. The record is from RNAcentral.
CAUGCAGUCGAACGGUGAACACGGAGCUUGCUCUGUGGGAUCAGUGGCGAACGGGUGAGUAACACGUGAGCAACCUGCCCCUGACUCUGGGAUAAGCGCUGGAAACGGCGUCUAAUACUGGAUACGAGUAGCGACCGCAUGGUCAGUUACUGGAAAGAUUUAUUGGUUGGGGAUGGGCUCGCGGCCUAUCAGCUUGUUGGUGAGGUAAUGGCUCACCAAGGCGUCGACGGGUAGCCGGCCUGAGAGGGUGACCGGCCACACUGGGACUGAGACACGGCCCAGACUCCUACGGGAGGCAGCAGUGGGGAAUAUUGCACAAUGGGCGCAAGCCUGAUGCAGCAACGCCGCGUGAGGGAUGACGGCCUUCGGGUUGUAAACCUCUUUUAGCAGGGAAGAAGCGAAAGUGACGGUACCUGCAGAAAAAGCGCCGGCUAACUACGUGCCAGCAGCCGCGGUAAUACGUAGGGCGCAAGCGUUAUCCGGAAUUAUUGGGCGUAAAGAGCUCGUAGGCGGUUUGUCGCGUCUGCUGUGAAAUCCGGAGGCUCAACCUCCGGCCUGCAGUGGGUACGGGCAGACUAGAGUGCGGUAGGGGAGAUUGGAAUUCCUGGUGUAGCGGUGGAAUGCGCAGAUAUCAGGAGGAACACCGAUGGCGAAGGCAGAUCUCUGGGCCGUAACUGACGCUGAGGAGCGAAAGGGUGGGGAGCAAACAGGCUUAGAUACCCUGGUAGUCCACCCCGUAAACGUUGGGAACUAGUUGUGGGGUCCAUUCCACGGAUUCCGUGACGCAGCUAACGCAUUAAGUUCCCCGCCUGGGGAGUACGGCCGCAAGGCUAAAACUCAAAGGAAUUGACGGGGACCCGCACAAGCGGCGGAGCAUGCGGAUUAAUUCGAUGCAACGCGAAGAACCUUA